Molecule: long non-coding RNA, 2842 nt
Organism: Leopardus geoffroyi (Geoffroy's cat)
Lineage: Eukaryota; Metazoa; Chordata; Mammalia; Carnivora; Felidae
Exons: 2
Source: RefSeq, a predicted model, not a curated record
CCCAGGGUUUGGGUCCCACUCAGUGGGGGGUCUUGGGGGCUGGUCUUCCGCAAAGCCUGAAGAACCCUUCCUGUGGUCUGGUUAAUUGGUAUGGCUAGCCCGUUGCUAUUUUGUGGGUCCAGGAAGACAUUUCAGUCCUUCUCCACAUUCAGAGUUGAGCACAAAAGCACUUGGUAGUCCUGGAUUGGGAGAGUUCAGGAUCCAUGCAUAUGAUACCCGAACCGAGAUUGGCUUUGUGGCUUUCAGAGAUAGAUUGCAGGCAUUUUUGUAGUGUUCACAGAUCCACAACUCACAGACCUACGACUGUAUAUGCAGUUUGAGAAGAAAUUAGAAUUAGUACACAGGUAGACUGAGAGAGAAUAUGCUGCCCUGAAAAUACUUUUGUUUUGGUUUUGGGGAGGGAUGUCUGUUUUGAGCUUCCUGUGCUUCUUGCCUGGUGUUCUGUAGAGAAUUUUGCAUUCCAAAAGAUAGGCCAGGCUCCCUUCCUGUGUCUGAAAGCUCCAGGAGGUGCUCUGAUAGAGGCGUCCCGGCCUGUUUUUGGGAGCUCAUCUCUCCUCAGCUGGCAAUGCAGGUUGUAUCUGGUUGACACGCCAGUGGUUUUGCAUAGAUUUUUCUCUAGAACCUUUUCUGAGGCAUAAGGGUCCCCACUUCCUUGAAAGGAGGAUCUCCGUUAUGUCUUAGUAAAGUUAACGAGAGUGAGAAUGAGAGAAGGGGUAUCUAACUUAUUUGGAAAAUGAUCGUUCUCAUUUUUAACUUUUCCUUCUCUCUACUGUCUAGACCUAUAGCACUAAUAUAAGUGAGGAGAUGCUUUAUGGAGACCCAUAAAGAUGCUAUGGUCCUAACAGUCCCAGCCUUGGUACAUUUUUCUGUCGUUCAUUUUUUUCUUACUGUGGUUAAAUUUUCAUUCGUGUAGUUUACCUCUUAGCUCUCUUAUCUUUUUUUUUUUUAAGAUUUAAAAAAAUUUUUAAGUCAUCUCCACACCCAAUGUGGGGCUCGAACUCAUGACCCCAAGGUCAAGCGUCAUAUGCUCUACUGACUAAGCCAGCCAGGUGCCCCUUGCUCUCUUAGUUUUGCAUUUACAUGUCACGUAUUCAGGUUUGCUUGGAGUGUAAAAUAUGUUUCAAACUUGAGAGAGAUCAAAACUAGGUAAGUUCAUGAAAUAUAGUGCCUUCUCUCCUAUGCCAGAGUUAUUUAGAAGGGAGCAAUGGAACUUUUUGGAUUGGUCCCAUUCUGCACUGGGCUACUUAGGCUUUCAGUCUGUGGUUCAGUUCAUUGGCACUCAAUGCCAAAGGAACUAAGGUCAAGGGUUUGAUCCUCAGGUGGGCCAGCUGGCUGCGUAUUUUUCCAACAGGUUGUAUGGAGAUUCAGUGCAGUCCCUACAGAAAUGCUGGUCUUCAAGGGGUUCUGGUGAACAUAUGAGUGACUGGGUGAAAAUCCAGCUCCAUUACUGGAAAAGCAAAGCCCGUGCCCUACUGUCCUUUUUGCAUCUGGACGGAACGUGCCACUUAAAAUGUGAGCUUGUUACUCAACCUCCUUGCGUCUCUGUGUCCUCAUCUGGAGAAUGGAGAUAAGAUUUGCUCCCUUUCUACCUCACCAGGAUCUGUGAAGAUUAGAUAAUGGCUGUAAAGUCCUUAUACAAAGGCACGCUUGGGUGAUUUUCACAGUAUACCUUGGAGUUUAAGUUGUAGCAAGGAGCCACGGCCAUCGCUCAGCAGCACAGUUUGCUCUCUCCAGCUUUAUUAUGGCACACAGCGACAACUUCAUUUUUAGCAUUAAAAAAAAAAUUCUCUUCACUUAAUUCAGACAGUGACCUGCAGGCCUCAUUCUGACUGAAGGAGCCAUUCAGAAUACUUGCAGACAAAAGCAGGGCUUUUUCCUAGCAACCAGAUCAAAGCCAAAUCUCCCAGAAUAGCUCCCUCCCAGGUUUUCUUUGGCGCAUAGGUUCACAAGGAUUCUAAGGCUCGUGGUAUCCAGUUCAAACUACUCUUUCAAACUGAAAUGGAAAGGAAAACUCCUGAGGAAUUUUCGCAGACUCUGAAAACCGGCGAGCGCUGCAAGAGCACUUCAUCUUGGGAGAACGUGGUGGUCAUUUGGAGCAUCCCUAACUUUGUUAUCGCCCGCAUCUGCAUGUACAUUCUGUCGGACUUCCACAGAAUGAGGUCUCUGUUUCCUUUCUGCCAGUACCUAAUAUCAGCUAUGCCCAGGAGCCGGCUGAUGAAGACUUCCUGUUUGUUUUGAGUCACUGUUAGAGUGAUAAAUAUACUUUAGCUCUCUGCUUAGAGAGGAAAGAAACCAGCUGCCCUGAACUACAGAGAAAAAAUGCAGAAAUUCCGCUGAAUGGCCCUGUUAUCAAGGAGUUUCAAGGGCAGCAUCAAAAUGAAAACUAUAAGCCAGGGCAAAGUAAAUAAUUUCCAUAUUAAAGCAUCUUGCUGCAUGCAUAGACCUAAGUUGUUUGUCUUUAAUCAUUUAGGCAAGCGUUGCAUUUUUCACUCUUCUAAGACUAACUCAGCAAUGUUGAGAGAUUUUUAAAAAUGUAAACUGAUGCUACAGAAUAAUGGUGAGCUAUAUAAAUAAACAAUUACAGUUGUGGUUUUUUGAUCUGACCACAAGCUUUUAAUGCCAUUUUUGCAUGAGCAUAGAAUGCUUCUGGAUAAACAAUACUGUUGACAUUGUCAGUGGCAUCCACUGUUGCAUUGAGUCAUUUACAUAUGUGAUUAUUUGGAUAUAGAGUAACCCAAGAACAAAAGAAUACUAUAAAAUGAUUUAAAACAAGAGCAACAGGAAAUCCUUUACAGCUUAAACAGCACUUCUUAAAUAAAGCUGUGGAAUUUUUGUGUUUUGA